UGAAAUGUGUCCUCUGUGAAUGUAGUC
Molecule: non-coding RNA, 27 nt
Filed under: Homo sapiens (human)
Lineage: Eukaryota; Metazoa; Chordata; Mammalia; Primates; Hominidae
Source: RNAcentral